GAUGAACGCUGGCGGCGUGCCUAAUACAUGCAAGUCGAGCGAACAGACGAGGAGCUUGCUCCUUUGACGUUAGCGGCGGACGGGUGAGUAACACGUAAGUAACCUACCUAUAAGACUGGGAUAAAUUCGGGAAACCGGAGCUAAGACCGGAUAAUAUUUCGAACCGCAUGGUUCGAUAGUGAAAGAUGGCUUUGCUAUCACUUAUAGAUGGACCUGCGCCGUAUUAGCUAGUUGGUAAGGUAACGGCUUACCAAGGCAACGAUACGUAGCCGACCUGAGAGGGUGAUCGGCCACACUGGAACUGAGACACGGUCCAGACUCCUACGGGAGGCAGCAGUAGGGAAUCUUCCGCAAAGGGCGAAAGCCUGACGGAGCAACGCCGCGUGAGUGAUGAAGGUCUUCGGAUCGUAAAACUCUGUUAUUAGGGAAGAACAAACGUGUAAGUAACUGUGCACGUCUUGACGGUACCUAAUCAGAAAGCCACGGCUAACUACGUG
Molecule: ribosomal RNA, 497 nt
Filed under: uncultured bacterium
Lineage: Bacteria
Description: partial 16S ribosomal RNA
Rfam family: Bacterial small subunit ribosomal RNA
Source: RNAcentral